CAGCCCUGUAGGAGACACCUCCAGAGAAAGUAACAGCUCUCAAUUGAUUAGCUGAGGAGACCGAUUUUGUAAAUCACUACUUUUCUAACAACACUGGCACAGAUGGCCAAGCAUUCUCCCUUUUCUCAGAGCUGGUUUUCCAUCCCGGAAAGAGGACUUACAUAUACAAAGUUACUCUAAUCAGUUGUGAGCAGGGUCAUAUAAAUUGUUAUUUAUUCAAAUUGUGGAAUAUUAUAAAGCAGUGAAAAACAAGUUAACUAUAACCAGAUGGAAUAACUUUGAAGCCUCAGGGGCUGGAUCCUGACAUGAACCAGACACCUCCAGAAUUCUAUCCCAAGCAAAAGAUUAUUUCAAGGCCAGAACUCACUCCCUGCUGGAGACUGACUACAAGAUCCACUGAGAUUGAUUUGUAACCUGAUUGGGCCCACAGUGAUGCUAGCCCCUUCACCAGAUGGAACAAUAAUUCCAGACAAGCCAUCAGAGCAGAGAGCAGAGGAGAGGAGAAGCAGCUGGAUGUCAGAGACUGCAGUUUGACGUUGGAGAAAAGCAGCUUGACUUCAGAGGGACAGCUUGACAGCAUGGAUUCAGAGAGGAGAAGAUCACCUUCCUGCUCCGCCCCCUUUCCAGCUCCCUUUCCCACUGAGAGCCACUUACACAGGCAAUAAAAUCCUCUGCAUUCACCACCCU
RNAcentral lists this long non-coding RNA (687 nucleotides) under Pan troglodytes (chimpanzee). Its description in RNAcentral is "lincRNA". Lineage: Eukaryota; Metazoa; Chordata; Mammalia; Primates; Hominidae. The record is from RNAcentral.